RNAcentral lists this ribosomal RNA (468 nucleotides) under uncultured bacterium. RNAcentral describes it as "partial 16S ribosomal RNA". It matches the Rfam family "Bacterial small subunit ribosomal RNA", at positions 28 to 507 of the family's 1533-position model. The record is from RNAcentral.
GACGAACGCUGGCGGCGUGCUUAACACAUGCAAGUCGAACGGAAAGGCCCUGCUUUUGUGGGGUGCUCGAGUGGCGAACGGGUGAGUAACACGUGAGUAACCUGCCCUUGACUUUGGGAUAACUUCAGGAAACUGGGGCUAAUACCGGAUAUGAGCUCCUGCUGCAUGGUGGGGGUUGGAAAGUUUCGGCGGUUGGGGAUGGACUCGCGGCUUAUCAGCUUGUUGGUGGGGUAGUGGCUUACCAAGGCUUUGACGGGUAGCCGGCCUGAGAGGGUGACCGGCCUCAUUGGGACUGAGAUACGGCCCAGACUCCUACGGGAGGCAGCAGUGGGGAAUAUUGCACAAUGGGCGGAAGCCUGAUGCAGCAACGCCGCGUGCGGGAUGACGGCCUUCGGGUUGUAAACCGCUUUCGCCUGUGACGAAGCGUGAGUGACGGUAAUGGGUAAAGAAGCACCGGCUAACUACGUG